RNAcentral lists this non-coding RNA (28 nucleotides) under Mus musculus (house mouse). Lineage: Eukaryota; Metazoa; Chordata; Mammalia; Rodentia; Muridae. The record is from RNAcentral.
UGCGAUCCUCCUCAGUCACAGAUGAUGG